This 77-nucleotide transfer RNA is filed under the name Pseudomonadota bacterium. RNAcentral describes it as "tRNA-Gly". It matches the Rfam family "tRNA". From Rfam's summary of the family: Transfer RNA (tRNA) molecules are approximately 80 nucleotides in length. Their secondary structure includes four short double-helical elements and three loops (D, anti-codon, and T loops). Lineage: Bacteria; Pseudomonadati; Pseudomonadota. RNAcentral also lists the same sequence under 5 other names. The record is from RNAcentral.
GCGGGAAUAGCUCAGUUGGCUAGAGCACAAGCCUUCCAAGCUUGGGGUCGCGGGUUCGAGUCCCGUUUCCCGCUCCA